GGGAGGAAGGGAAGGAAGGAGCUAUGCUGGCUGGAGAAUUCUGGGAGUUGAAGUCCACAAGUCUUAAAAGUUGCCAGGUUUGGAGACCCCCCUGGUCUAGAGCAACUUGCCCGGCCAAGUUGGGCAAAUUCAGGCAGAUCUUGGUCCUCCAAGGAAAACCUUUCCCAUCCUCCACAGCACCAAACUGGAUCGCGACGCUGACAGUAGGACAGGCUGGAGCCCAUGCCACAUAUUACCACAAAGCCAGCGACCAGUUGCAGGUGGGUGUGGAAUUCGAAGCCAGCAGCCGCAUGCAAGACACCAGCGCAACCUUUGGAUACCAGCUGGAUCUCCCCAAAGCCAACCUCCUUUUCAGAGGCUCCAUCGACAGCAACUGGAUCGUGGGGGCGGUCUUGGAAAAGAAGCUGAUUCCGUUGCCCCUCACGCUAGCGAUGGGCGCCUUCCUGAAUCACCGCAAGAACAAAUUCCAGUGCGGCUUUGGCCUGACCAUUGGUUAAACUGCCCUUCUCCUUCUCCCUCCUUCCUCCUCUUCCUCCUCCUCUUCUUCAGUGCAGUGCGUGGCCCCGUUGUCCUCCCGCCCUGCACCCUUGUCUGGCCAGAGGUAGCUGUUGGUGUGUGUGUGGGGGGGGGGGGGGGGAGGGGGGGGGGAGGGGGGGGGGGGGUGGAGAGCAGGAAGGAUGCCUUCCGCCUCCCACCCAUAAGGAGGGGUUGGCGGUUCUCGGAGGAGCUGGAGGAUGGGAGGGGGGAGGAUUUGGCCCAAUAUACGGUUCACAAGGUCCUCCGGGCAACGCUUUGCCGCCUCCUGCCACCAGGGGGUGCUCUAGCAUCGGGAAUGGGGAAAGGCCUCCUUUCCCAAGGAUGCCAGGGGGCUGUGGGGAGCUUAGCCCCCUCCCCCCCCCCCCCAUCAACCUCCCCCCCCCCCCAUAUUUCCCAUUUCCUCCCGUUUUAUUUCCCCCUCCAUCCAUCCAAGGAAGGAGAGAGAGCCAAACUUUUGACGGUUUUCCAAAGAGAAAAAUCCAUAGGACCUGCAUUUUGGGUUUUUUUAAACUUCCGUUCCCACUCUAUCGAACUUUCCCUUGUUUUUGUUUAUGGGGGAAUGUGGGGUUUUUUUGGGGGGGGUGGGUGGGGGGUUCUCGCUUCCCUCAUGGGUUUGCCAAAAGAUUAGCGGCAAUCGUGGUUCUGUCGGGCCUGUUUUGGGGGGCGCCCGGUUGCACCCUCCUUCCCUCUCUUCCUGCUGGGUUUGCCAAAAGGUAAAAUGGCAGUUGUGGUUUUAUCAGGCCUGUUUUGGGG
Molecule: long non-coding RNA, 1290 nt
Filed under: Notechis scutatus (mainland tiger snake)
Lineage: Eukaryota; Metazoa; Chordata; Lepidosauria; Squamata; Elapidae
Description: lncRNA (ENSNSUG00000000828.1)
Source: RNAcentral